Long non-coding RNA from Helianthus annuus (common sunflower), 1092 nucleotides. RefSeq lists it as uncharacterized. The transcript has 5 exons. The record is from RefSeq and is a predicted model, not a curated record. NCBI's taxonomy places the organism in Eukaryota, Viridiplantae, Streptophyta, Magnoliopsida, Asterales, Asteraceae.
AAAACACGCUUUGCCCUUUUCAAUUCCUGCUCUCAAACCCUAGACCCAUCUUCUCCUUCACGUUUCCAUCACGGCAUGAUAUGCUUUCAUCUCAACCAGUUUUCUUUCGUGAUUCAUCUCAACUAGGUUUCUUCUCCUUCACGCUUUCAUCUUCAUCAUUCCCUCCCUUCAUCACUCUAUUAGUGAAACUUUUUUCUCCUACAAAUUCAGUUGUUAGUUGUUAUGAGAGGGGUGACCCAAUUGAAGAAUUCGAGCUUGGUACUGGCUAGGUGAUAAAGGUAUGCGAUGAUUUUGACCAAUGUCGUAACCCUGGUGGAUUCAACACUUUGACACCGUAAAAAAGGGGCAAAGAAGGUCGCCAAGCAACAAAGAAAGGGCAAGAAUAUGUUGGAGCUAUGUGGUAACAUUGGAUGCAUCAUUUUGGUGCCAUUGUUUAAACAUGUUAUUCAAAAUCUACGAUGAGCCAGGGGCAAAAGGUUGCUUUGAAUUCCGCAAAGCUGCUCAGAUUUCUCGCUUCAAGCGUCAAUGUGCUAUACGUUCGAAACUCUUCAAACUAAAGGAACGACGUGACAAUCAACUAGAGAUCGACAUACGUUUUUGUCAUGAAUAAUAUAUGUUUUCCGACUUUAUGUUGUGCCUGCAGUUGGAGUCUGGUUAAGCCUUUGCCUUUAGCAUGGAAGUGUUUUUGGUUUCAGUGAUAUGUACCAAGCCAUGAGGGAGAAGAGGAGCGAUUGACGUCCUUGAAACGAUAUUCAACUAGAGAAUGGCAAUUCAUUUGUGUCAUAACCGCCUUCGAACAAGGACGGUGUGAAUGGGAAACUUGUAUAGCACUGUCAUCAAUAAGCAACUUUUUUGUAUUCGGGUUAGAUUUUUAUUUUGUUCAGUAUUUUUGGUAUAUUCAGGGCCCUGUUACUUUCAGAAGCUCACUGCUCUCUACAUUUUCAUUGGGGCAAGUGUUAAUCAUAUAUUAAAUAUGAUCCAGUAAUCGGUCUCAAACCAACUUAAAAAAAUGCUAGAUGUUUUUUUUUUAAAUUUAAACUUAUUGGGUCCCUCGUGAUGUUUUCAUUAUAUUUUAUUAUUGGUUUCUGUUGC